GUAGAGCAUUUUACAUCCUCUGCAACGCCCAAAUAACUCAUUUUACAGUGAACUUGCAAAAGCUAUGAUCUAACAAGGACAUUCCAUGUCGAGUUGUCUCACCGCUAAAUGGGAGAAAAUAAUCCUCAAAUCACAAAUAAACCCAUUCAAAACAUGACUUCGUUGUAGUCUUCACGACAAAUAUUAACGUCAAACCCCUCAAUGCAAAUCCAUACACCCUCUAAACCAAAAACAACACAGUGCAUUAGUAUCUUCUCCUAGGACUCCUUGACCGAUGUGCUCGUCCUGAU
RNAcentral lists this unclassified non-coding RNA (290 nucleotides) under Hevea brasiliensis (rubber tree). Lineage: Eukaryota; Viridiplantae; Streptophyta; Magnoliopsida; Malpighiales; Euphorbiaceae. The record is from RNAcentral.